This 257-nucleotide ribosomal RNA is filed under the name uncultured Pseudomonas sp. RNAcentral describes it as "partial 16S ribosomal RNA". It matches the Rfam family "Bacterial small subunit ribosomal RNA", at positions 96 to 355 of the family's 1533-position model. Lineage: Bacteria; Pseudomonadati; Pseudomonadota; Gammaproteobacteria; Pseudomonadales; Pseudomonadaceae. The record is from RNAcentral.
CGGCGGACGGGUGAGUAAUGCCUAGGAAUCUGCCUGGUAGUGGGGGACAACGUUUCGAAAGGAACGCUAAUACCGCAUACGACCUACGGGUGAAAGCAGGGGAUCUUCGGACCUUGCGCGAUUGAAUGAGCCGAUGUCGGAUUAGCUAGUUGGCGGGGUAAAGGCCCACCAAGGCGACGAUCCGUAGCUGGUCUGAGAGGAUGAUCAGCCACACUGGAACUGAGACACGGUCCAGACUCCUACGGGAGGCAGCAGCC